AGAGCUUGUAGGCGGUUUGUCGCGUCUGCUGUGAAAGACCGGGGCUUAACUCCGGUUCUGCAGUGGGUACGGGCAGGCUAGAGUGUGGUAGGGGAGACUGGAAUUCCUGGUGUAGCGGUGAAAUGCGCAGAUAUCAGGAGGAACACCGAUGGCGAAGGCAGGUCUCUGGGCCAUAACUGACGCUGAGAAGCGAAAGCAUGGGGAGCAAACAGGAUUAGAUACCCUGGUAGUCCAUGCCGUAAACGUUGGGCGCUAGGUGUGGGGCUCAUUCCACGAGUUCCGUGCCGCAGCUAACGCAUUAAGCGCCCCGCCUGGGGAGUACGGCCGCAAGGCUAAAACUCAAAGGAAUUGACGGGGGCCCGCACAAGCGGCGGAGCAUGCGGAUUAAUUCGAUGCAACGCGAAGAACCUUACCAAGGCUUGACAUGCACCGGACGACUGCAGAGAUGUGGUUUCCCUUUGUGGCUGGUGUGCAGGUGGUGCAUGGUUGUCGUCAGCUCGUGUCGUGAGAUGUUGGGUUAAGUCCCGCAACGAGCGCAACCCUCGUUCCAUGUUGCCAGCGGGUUAUGCCGGGAACUCAUGGGAGACUGCCGGGGUCAACUCGGAGGAAGGUGGGGAUGACGUCAAAUCAUCAUGCCCCUUAUGUCUUGGGCUUCACGCAUGCUACAAUGGCUGGUACAGAGGGCGGCGAUACCGUGAGGUGGAGCGAAUCCCUUAAAACUGGUCUCAGUUCGGAUUGGGGUCUGCAACUCGACCCCAUGAAGUCGGAGUCGCU
Molecule: ribosomal RNA, 774 nt
Filed under: uncultured Actinomycetes bacterium
Lineage: Bacteria; Bacillati; Actinomycetota; Actinomycetes
Description: bacterial SSU rRNA
Rfam family: Bacterial small subunit ribosomal RNA
Source: RNAcentral